UACAGAGGGUGCGAGCGUUAAUCGGAAUUACUGGGCGUAAAGCGUGCGUAGACGGUUAUUUAAGUCAGAUGUGAAAGCCCCGGGCUCAACCUGGGAAUCGCAUUUGAGACUGAAUAGCUAGGGUGCGGUAGAGGGAAGCGGAAUUUCCGGUGUAGCGGUGAAAUGCGUAGAUAUCAAGAGGAACACCUGCGGCGAAGGCGGGUUGCUGGGCCGACACUGACGCUGAAGCGCGAAAGCUAGGGGAGCGAACGGG
RNAcentral lists this ribosomal RNA (253 nucleotides) under uncultured prokaryote. RNAcentral's name for it is "partial 16S ribosomal RNA". It matches the Rfam family "Bacterial small subunit ribosomal RNA", at positions 524 to 776 of the family's 1533-position model. The record is from RNAcentral.